GAUGAACGCUGGCGGCGUGCUUAACACAUGCAAGUCGAACGAUGAAGCUGGAGCUUGCUCUGGUGGAUUAGUGGCGAACGGGUGAGUAACACGUGAGCAACCUGCCCCUGACUCUGGGAUAACAGCCGGAAACGGCUGCUAAUACCGGAUAUGCACCAUGAACGCAUGUUCUGUGGUGGGAAAGAUUUUUCGGUUGGGGAUGGGCUCGCGGCCUAUCAGCUUGUUGGUGAGGUAAUGGCUCACCAAGGCGUCGACGGGUAGCCGGCCUGAGAGGGUGACCGGCCACACUGGGACUGAGACACGGCCCAGACUCCUACGGGAGGCAGCAGUGGGGAAUAUUGCACAAUGGGCGAUAGCCUGAUGCAGCAACGCCGCGUGAGGGAUGACGGCCUUCGGGUUGUAAACCUCUUUUAGCAGGGAAGAAGCGAGAGUGACGGUACCUGCAGAAAAAGCGCCGGCUAACUACGUG
This 469-nucleotide ribosomal RNA is filed under the name uncultured bacterium. RNAcentral's name for it is "partial 16S ribosomal RNA". It matches the Rfam family "Bacterial small subunit ribosomal RNA", at positions 28 to 507 of the family's 1533-position model. The record is from RNAcentral.